Patiria miniata (bat star) is the source of this 192-nucleotide small nuclear RNA. RefSeq annotates it as U2 spliceosomal RNA. The transcript has a single exon. NCBI's taxonomy places the organism in Eukaryota, Metazoa, Echinodermata, Asteroidea, Valvatida, Asterinidae. The record is from RefSeq and is a predicted model, not a curated record.
AUCGCUUCUCGGCCUUCCUGGCUAAGAUCAUGUGAAAGUAUCUGUUCUCGUCAGCUUAACAUCUGACGGCAGUGCCACAGCGCAGCUGCGAUGUUAUUCACGAGAUUUUUGGAACCGGGUCUUGGUGAAGCUUGCUUCCCUGACCAUGGGUUGACCCAGUAUAGCACUGUAGCUGGGAACAGCCCCACAAUC